Molecule: long non-coding RNA, 1026 nt
Organism: Panicum virgatum (switchgrass)
Lineage: Eukaryota; Viridiplantae; Streptophyta; Magnoliopsida; Poales; Poaceae
Exons: 2
Source: RefSeq, a predicted model, not a curated record
CGAGAUUUCUAUUGGCUUGGCUCCGAGCGACACGUCGACGCCCGAAAUUACGCCCGUUUCUCCGUUGACCAUCACAAAUCCAAAGCCCAAAUUCCAUCCCGCCGGCGACGAUCCUGUCCUGGCCACAUUCGCAGCUUCAAAUCCACACCCAUCCUCAUCCCAUGGCUAUCCGAGCACCGUCGGACAGCGGUGCGCCGCUGCUUUGUCAGGCGGCCGUCGCUCUCUUCCCUCCGCCCUCGCAAAGCCGGCGGCCGCCCAGCGACAGCCUGACGACGCCCCGGCCCCUUCAUAUGUGAUGGUAGAACCUCCUCAAGUGGCGACCGGACGCUAUCACCAGCAGGCCAAGGCAAGGACCCGACUAGAUCUGCGCACGGGAGACCAGGUCGUGCUGUCCCGGCUUUCAAGCGGUUCUAGUACAUGCAGGUUUACUACUUUAUGCAUCAGGCUGCACAGAUUUUGGGUACCAAAUAUCUUUUUGAAUGCUUCAUCACUGUUAUAGUAAAUUGACUGUCUGCAUAGUACACAAUUCUUGUAAUUUACCAGACCUUCGUUGAUCCUGCACAGUAGUAAAUUAACCAUAUAAUUUACUACUUUUUUUAGUGUUGAUUUCACUAGGUUUUACAGUUGUGAUUGAUCUGGAUACUAUCCCAAGAUUACAGGAGUUAGUUGUGUGCUUAACUUGAUCUCCAUGACUACAUUUACAACAACAUAUCUUCUAGAGUCUACCUUCUAAGGAGAUCUCGUCAAGCACAACAACCAGGAGUUUACAAGUUUGUUAGAACAGAAAACUCUAUUCAUCUAACAGCCUCCCUCAAUCGAAGCUCAUCUUUGUUCAAGAGAUUAAGACUGUACUUGAAGUCUUCAAACUUUUGCGGUGGCAUGGCUUUGGUAAAACCAUCAGCAAGUUGAUCUUGAGAUGAAAUAAACCGUAUCUGUAGCUGCUUCUUGGUGACUCGUUCUCCGAUAAAAUGGAAGUCUAUUUCUAUGUGUUUUGCUCUCGCAUGAAACACUGGAUUUGCAGAUAAA